CUUCAACGAGCCGAGCCACAGUGGACGGUCCGCCGGCCGGUCCUUGCCGUAGGUGGCGAGCAGGGCCUGGGCCUC
Molecule: antisense RNA, 75 nt
Filed under: Saccharothrix carnea
Lineage: Bacteria; Bacillati; Actinomycetota; Actinomycetes; Pseudonocardiales; Pseudonocardiaceae
Description: ASpks TB sRNA
Rfam family: ASpks TB sRNA
Source: RNAcentral